AGUGAACGCUGGCGGUAGGCCUAACACAUGCAAGUCGAACGGCAGCACAGUAAGAGCUUGCUCUUACGGGUGGCGAGUGGCGGACGGGUGAGGAAUACAUCGGAAUCUACUUUUUCGUGGGGGAUAACGUAGGAAAACUUACGCUAAUACCGCAUACGACCUACGGGUGAAAGCAGGGGAUCUUCGGACCUUGCGCGAUUGAAUGAGCCGAUGUCGGAUUAGCUAGUUGGCGGGGUAAAGGCCCACCAAGGCGACGAUCCGUAGCUGGUCUGAGAGGAUGAUCAGCCACACUGGAACUGAGACACGGUCCAGACUCCUACGGGAGGCAGCAGUGGGGAAUAUUGGACAAUGGGCGCAAGCCUGAUCCAGCCAUGCCGCGUGGGUGAAGAAGGCCUUCGGGUUGUAAAGCCCUUUUGUUGGGAAAGAAAAGCAGCAGGUUAAUACCCCGCUGUUCUGACGGUACCCAAAGAAUAAGCACCGGCUAACUUCGUG
RNAcentral lists this ribosomal RNA (492 nucleotides) under uncultured bacterium. Its description in RNAcentral is "partial 16S ribosomal RNA". It matches the Rfam family "Bacterial small subunit ribosomal RNA", at positions 29 to 507 of the family's 1533-position model. The record is from RNAcentral.